UACGGAGGGUGCAAGCGUUAUCCGGAUUUACUGGGUUUAAAGGGUGUGUAGGCGGGCUUUUAAGUCAGUGGUGAAAUCUCCGGGCUCAACCCGGAAACUGCCAUUGAUACUAUUAGUCUUGAAUUUUGUUGAGGUAGGCGGAAUAAGUCAUGUAGCGGUGAAAUGCAUAGAUAUGACUUAGAACACCAAUUGCGAAGGCAGCUUGUCUAAACAAUAUUGACGCUGAGGCACGAAAGCGUGGGGAUCAAACAGG
This 253-nucleotide ribosomal RNA is filed under the name uncultured bacterium. RNAcentral's name for it is "partial 16S ribosomal RNA". It matches the Rfam family "Bacterial small subunit ribosomal RNA", at positions 524 to 776 of the family's 1533-position model. The record is from RNAcentral.